This 5262-nucleotide long non-coding RNA is filed under the name Homo sapiens (human). RNAcentral's name for it is "HSALNT0084831". Lineage: Eukaryota; Metazoa; Chordata; Mammalia; Primates; Hominidae. The record is from RNAcentral.
CUUAAUUGAAAUUAUGGGAGGAGUCCUCCUAGUGGAAUUAGUGUCCUUAUAAGUAUAAACACCAGACACCUGUUCUCUCUCUACCUACUCUGUGAGGACCCAGCUAGAGAGUGUCUGUUUGCAAGCCAGGAGCAGAGCUUUCGCCAGAAACCAGCCAUGCUGGCAUCUUCAUCUUGGACUUCUAGCCUUCAGACUAUGGGAAAAUAAAUUUCUGCUGGUUAAGCUACUCAAUCUAUGGUGUUUUGUUGUGGCAGCGUGAGCUGAAAAAGACAGGGAGAAACUGGGAAAAAGGUGAUUUCACACAGUAUCCUUCACCAGAAUUUGGUUACACAUUGGGGAGCCACUACUGCUCUUUUAGAAAUGAGAAAACUGAACCCGCUAGAGGAUAUAAACCAGCAAGGUGCUUUGACAAGACGCUUGUUAAAUGGAGAAUGGAACCAGGUUAUUCACUGUGACUGUGUUGAUGAACCUACAUAUCAAAUAUAGCUUUCAAGGAGUAUUAACCUUUUGGGAGAGGCCUUACGGGGAAAACACCAAGUCCCUGGACAAGGGGAAGACACCAAAUCCCUGGACUCAGGCCUCACAUGAUUGAGUGAGAGGAACUCUGCUGUCAGACCCUACAAUGCACUCUUCAGUGGAAGAGGAUCACACAUUCCAAACAUACUCCAUCAGGUCAUAUGUUAAAUGACAGGGCUGAGACCUCUCCACAGCACAUCUGAUACUGGGAUCGAUGAAGAUCAGAUGUGCAAAUCACACUGGGCUCCGGAAAGCCCUAGACUGUGUCAUUCAAGGUGGGAGGAUUUGCUUCUCUGGUAAGCUGUGGAAAGAUCCUCUGUGGAUUAAGACCUUUCGUUUCUCUUGAAGGAUGAAUGGAUAUUAUAAGUCCCAAGGACUCAAUAAAACCUUUAUAGCCUUAGUAUAGCAGAGUGUCCGUCAGCCAAUUCUGUGAUUUUACUGUGUUUGUCUUUUGCAAAAAUCCAUGUGAAACCUCAAAUGUUCCUUUUACAAGUUCUUUUGUUACACACACAUGUUUUUGGUUAAAUUAGUGGUGGUUCAAUCUGGAAAAGAUAUCUGUAAUUAGAGUCUUAUUUUUGAAGUUUAAAAAGGGUGGGGGGAAGCACAUAUUCUAUCAACUUUUCCUCACAGAAAAACUUACUCUAUCUUCAAAAGCUGUGACCCAACACAGCAGUUUCUAGGAUCCUCCAGAAGGAAAAUUUUCACUUACUGCCAUAUUGUCAGAAAAAGAAGAGGCUUCUAAAAGUUUUAAAGAGUUUUUUUCUCUCCUCAAAACUCAAGUAUGUACUUGUUAAAUAAUAAUUCACGUAAUUUGUAGAAUGUGUUAGCUUUCAAGACCCAUUUAUGAAACCAGUAGUUUCACUUACGUAGGAUAGGUAUUAUUAUUAUCAUCAUCAUCAUUUUUUUAAAUAAAGAGAAGAGUAGAAAACGCAUGUGCCCUGCCUUCUGUUGAACUAAAAGAGAUAAGGUGAAAACUUAGCCUUGUGAUGUAGAAAACUAAUUCCUAUUUCUCUCUCUUAUGGAUCCAAGCAUCAAAAUGUAUCGUAUGACAAUGUCUCAACAGGCAGAUGGCAGAAAUAUCACAACCCUAGCAUUCCCUGAAAUAUUAGUGGACUACAGAAUCAUGCAGUCCAGGUAAAGAAUCAGGCUACAUUACAGGCUGUGCCACAUUCUUAGCAACUGAGAAGGAAGAUACUAGAGAAGGGGAACACAGGGGUGAGUUCUUUUUCUACUUUAAACAAGUCUUGACACAGCUUUUUCUCCAAUUCCCAAUAUAACCAUCCUGCCACUACUUCCCUAAUACCAUAGCUUGCCUAAGAUUGAUCAAGCAGAAAAUGGGUAUCUUACCUCUUAAGCAAAGGUAAAGAGUAUUAUUCUCUAUGUUCUCUAUGUCUCUGUUUUCUAUGUCUUUAUCUGGAGCAUGCUCUUUCAUGUCCUUUACAUUUAAUUCUUCAAUUGCAUAAUAAUACAUAAGAAAAAACUAAAUAUACCCAUAAGAUUUUAUUCUAUGAUAAUAUUUAUAAAACUCAAACAUAUUUGAAAACAUUGAAACUACUUUUUAAAAAUAUAUGCAAGGUUGGCAUCUGUUUAUCAUUUUUAUAAAAUAUUAAACCAAAUUUUUAAAGCAAGAGAAAUAUUCCUCUAUUGAACUUACAUCAUAAGUUGAGAUGAGCUAUGAGGUUAAUAACAUUUACACCAUGAUGAAAAUAAAGCUCUAUAAAAACUCUCAAAUAAAUUUCUAAUUUCAGAAAUCCCUCAAAUAACAGAAUUGCAUUUCUCAAAAGCUGAAUCCUAUUUAAGUGAUAUUUAUUAUAAAAUACUGGUUAUUAUUAUUAGUACAAGACUAUAUUGGCCCAUAAACAUAUUUUUGUGGAUAUAUUUUUUUUGUGUUUAAAGCAGGAUUUCUCAACCUCAUCACCAUCAACAUUUGGGUCAGAUAAUUUUUUGUUUCAGGGAACUAUCCUGUGCCUUGUAGAAUGUUGAGCAGCAUCCCUGAACUCUACUCUCUAAAUACCAUGGGACCCUAAACAUACACAAUUGUGAAAAUGAAAAACGUCUCCAGAUAUUACCAAAUGUCCCCUUAGGGGUAAAAUCAUCUCCCAUUGAGGAAUAACUGGCUUACAGUAUACAAGAAUGCAGUAGUUCCAAUAUUCACUAAGCCUAAUAAUCUAACAUGGAGCUACAUACUCAGUUCACCAAAUAUUAAGUAAACCUCUGGCAUAUUCAAGGCACUGUGGGGGAUUGCAAUGAUGAGUAUAGCAAUGUCUCCUGCUCAGAAGUAUAUAAUCUCAUAGGCAGGAAGAGUCAAGUACAAUAGCCCCCCUUAGCUGUGGUUUCACUUUCUGCAGUUUGUUACUCAUGGUCAACUCUGGUCCAAAAAUAUUAAAUGUAAAAUUCCAGAAAUAAACAUUUCAUAAAUUUUAAAUUGCCAUUGUUCUGAGUAACAUGAUGAAAUUUCAUGUUGUUCUGCUUCAUCCCACUUGGGAUGUGAAUCAUCCCUUUGUCCAGUAUUUUCAUACGGUAUAUACUACCUGCUCAUUAGUCACCUAGGAGCCCUCUCAAUUAUCAGAUCAAAAAAAAAAACAGCAUAUAUAGGGUUUGAUGAUAUCUGCAGUUUCAGGCAUCCACUGGAGGUAUUGGAAUGUAUCACCCAUACAUAAGGAGAAACUACUCUAUACAAACAACAAGAACAAAAACAAAGUAUGAUAAAUGAUAUAAACAUAUGCAACUUCAUGAAAUUAAGUAGCUGUUCAUGCCUAGAAAGAGAAUUGUUCACAUAAAAAUUGUUUACUAAUAGUAGGAAGGAUAUAGUUAUAAUAAGUGGUAAACAAGAAAGAGUUUUUAAAGAGUUACUUCCCAGAUACAAUGGGAAUACGGGCAUUGGAUAAAUGCCCUCAGUCCAAAUGGGAGAAAUUGGCCAAAACAAAGGGGCUACAGGCCCCAUGCAAGUCUCAAACCCAGCACGCCAAUCAUUAAAUCCUAAAACCACAAUAAUCUCCUUUGACUCUAUGUCUCAUAUCCAGGGAAUGCUGAUGCAAGAAGUGGGCUCCUAAGACUUUAGGCAGCUCUGCCCCUGUGGCUCUGAGGGGCACAGCCCCCAUGGCUGCUUUCAUGGGCUGGCAUUGAGUGCCUGCAGCCUUUCCAGGUGCAUGGUGCAAGCUGUUCAUAGAUCUACCCUUCUGGGGUCUGGAGGAUGAUGGCCCUCUUCUCACAGAUCCACUAGGCAGACCCCCAGUGGAGACUCUGUGUGGGGGCUUCAACCCCACAUUUCCCCUCUGCACUGCCCUAGUAGAGGUUCCAUCCUUGCCCCAUAAAGGCUCCAUCCUUGCCCCAGACUUCUGCCUAGACAUCCAAGUGUUUCCGUACAUCCUCUGAAAUCUAGAUGAAGGUUUCCAAACCUCAACUCUUGCCUUCUGCACACCUGCAGGCCCAACACCACAUGGAAGCUACCAAUGCUUGGGGCUUGCACCUUCUGAAGCAAUGGUCCAAGCUGUACCUUGGUCCUUUUUAGCCACUGCUGGAGCUGGAGUGGCUGGGACUCAGGGUGCCAUAUUCUGAGGCUGCACAGAGCAGGUGGGACCUGGGCCUGGCCCAGGAAACCAUUUUUUUCUCUGAGCCCUCUGGGCCUGUGAUGAGAGGGGCUGCUGUGAAGGUCUCUGAAAUGCCCUAGAGAAAAUUUCCCCCAUUGUCUUGGCUACUAACGUUUGGUACUACUUUACUUAGGCAAUUUUUUGCAGGAGGCUUGAAUUUCUCCCCAGAAAAGGGGUUUUUCUUUUCUACCACAUGGCUGGGCUGCAACUUUUCCAAACUUUUGUGCUCUCCUUCCCUUUUAAAUAUAAGUUCCAGUUUCAGACAAUCCCCUUGUGCACACAUGAGUGUACACUUUUAAAAACAGCCAGGUCACAUCUUGAAUGUUUUGUUGGUUAGAAAUUUCUUCGGCCAGAUACCCUAAAUCAUCUUUCUCAAGUUCAAAGAUCUCUAGGGCAGGGACAAAAUGCUGUCAAUCUCUUUGCUAAAGCAUAGCAACAGUGAUCUUUACUCUAGUAUCCAAUAAGUUUCUCAUCUUCAUCUGAGACCACCUCAUCUUGGACUUCAUCAUCCAUAUCACUAUCAGCAUUUUGGGCAAAAUCAUUUAACAAGUUUCUAGGAAGUUCCAAAAUUUCCCACACCUUCCUGUCUUCUUCUGAGCCCUCCAAACUGUUCCAACCUCUGCCCAUUACUCAGUUCCAAAGGCACUUCCACAUUUUCAGUUAUCUUUAUAGCAGUACCCUACUCUUGGUACCAAUUCUCUGCAUUAGUCCAUUCUCACACUGCUAUAAAACACUACCUGAGACUGGGUAAUUUAAGAAAAGAGAUUUAAUUGACUCACAGUUCUGCAUGCUUAACAGGAAGCAUGACUGGAAGGCUUCACAAAACUGACAAUUAUGGCAGAAGGUGAAGGGGAAGCAAAGACCUUCUUCACAUGGCAGCAGGAGAGAGAGAGCAGGGGGAAGCACUACAUACUUUUAAAUGAUCAGAUUUUGUAAGAACUCACUCACUAUUGUGAGUACAGCAAGGGGAAAAUCCACCCUCAUAACCCAAUUGCCUCCAACCAGGUCCCUAUUCCAAUUUGACCUGCAAUUUGGGUGGGGACACAAAUCCAAACUAUAUUACCAGCAUAACAGAUAAAAUCCAGGUUGGUGGACAAAGCUUUAGGUCUGCUGACCAAGUGGACACGUUUUCCUCCACAUAUUUCAUCCUCUACAG